RNAcentral lists this non-coding RNA (29 nucleotides) under Rattus norvegicus (Norway rat). The record is from RNAcentral. Lineage: Eukaryota; Metazoa; Chordata; Mammalia; Rodentia; Muridae.
UGCAAACCAGUUCCCAGGAACCUUUUUGA